ACGGAGGGUGCGAACGUUAAUCGGAAUUACUGGGCGUAAAGCGCGCGUAGGCGGUUUGUUAAGUGGGAUGUGAAAUCCCCGGGCUCAACCUGGGAACUGCGUUUCAAACUGACAAACUAGAGUUCAGUAGAGGGAGGUGGAAUUUCCUGUGUAGCGGUGAAAUGCGUAGAUAUAGGGAGGAACACCAGUGGCGAAGGCGGCCUCCUGGACUGAAACUGACGCUCAAACGCGAAAGCGUGGGGAGCAAACAGG
RNAcentral lists this ribosomal RNA (252 nucleotides) under uncultured bacterium. RNAcentral's name for it is "partial 16S ribosomal RNA". It matches the Rfam family "Bacterial small subunit ribosomal RNA", at positions 525 to 776 of the family's 1533-position model. The record is from RNAcentral.